RNAcentral lists this ribosomal RNA (2224 nucleotides) under human gut metagenome. RNAcentral describes it as "bacterial LSU rRNA". It matches the Rfam family "Bacterial large subunit ribosomal RNA", at positions 1 to 2276 of the family's 2925-position model. The record is from RNAcentral.
ACAAGCGACUAAGUGCACAGGGUGGAUGCCUUGGCGAUUACAGGCGAUGAAGGACGUAGAAGCUUGCGAUAAGCUGCGGGGAGUUGGCAAACAAACUUUGAUCCGCAGAUUUCCGAAUGGGGAAACCCGGCCUUUUGGUCAUCAAUAACUGAAUCCAUAGGUUAUUGAAGCGAACGUAGUGAACUGAAACAUCUAAGUAACUACAGGAAAAGAAAUCAACCGAGAUUCCCAAAGUAGUGGCGAGCGAAAUGGGAAGAGCCUGCAAGAGAUAGUGAGAUGAGAUAGUGGAACAUUCUGGAAAGGAUGACGAAACAGGGUGAUAGUCCCGUACACGAAAUCCAUCUAACAGGACUGGGCUUGCGACAAGUAGGGCGGGACACGAGAAAUCCUGUCUGAAGAUGGGGGGACCAUCCUCCAAGGCUAAAUACUCGUAAUCGACCGAUAGUGAACCAGUACCGUGAGGGAAAGGCGAAAAGAACCCCGGGAGGGGAGUGAAAUAGAACCUGAAACCGUGUGCAUACAAACAGUAGGAGCCCGUGCUUGCAUGGGUGACUGCGUACCUUUUGUAUAAUGGGUCAGCGACUUACAUUCAGUGGCGAGGUUAACCGAAUAGGGGAGCCGAAGAGAAAUCGAGUCCGAACAGGGCGACAGUCGCUGGGUGUAGACCCGAAACCAAGUGAUCUACUCAUGGCCAGGAUGAAGGUGCGGUAACACGCACUGGAGGUCCGAACCCACUAACGUUGAAAAGUUAGGGGAUGAGCUGUGGGUAGGGGUGAAAGGCUAAACAAACUUGGAGAUAGCUGGUUCUCUCCGAAAGCUAUUUAGGUAGUGCCUCAAGUAUCACCACUAGGGGUAGAGCACUGUUAUGGCUAGGGGGUCAUCGCGACUUACCAAACCAUUGCAAACUCCGAAUACUAGUGAGUGCGAGCUUGGGAGACAGACACCGGGUGCUAACGUCCGAUGUCAAGAGGGAAACAACCCAGACCGCCAGCUAAGGUCCCAAAGAUUGGCUAAGUGGAAAACGAAGUGGGAAGGCUAAAACAGUCAGGAGGUUGGCUUAGAAGCAGCCAUCCUUUAAAGAAAGCGUAAUAGCUCACUGAUCGAGUCGUCCUGCGCGGAAGAUGUAACGGGGCUAAGCCGGUCACCGAAGCUGCGGAUAUCCUGUAUGGGAUAUGGUAGGAGAGCGUUCUGUAAGCCUGAGAAGGUGUGUUGAGAAGCAUGCUGGAGGUAUCAGAAGUGCGAAUGCUGACAUGAGUAGCGAUAAUGGGGGUGAAAGGCCCCCACGCCGUAAGCCCAAGGUUUCCUGUUCAACGUUCAUCGGAGCAGGGUGAGUCGGCCCCUAAGGCGAGGCAGAGAUGCGUAGCUGAUGGGAAGCAGGUUAAUAUUCCUGCACCGUCGUUAGAUGCGAUGGGGGGACGGAUCGCGGAAAGUCGUCCGGGUGUUGGAAGUCCCGGUUCUUGAUUCGAAGGAGGCUGCUAGGCAAAUCCGGCAGCGUAAUCCAAGGGAUUGAGACGAGUGGCCUUGUGCCGCGAAGCGAUUGGAAGUGGUUCCAAGAAAAGCCUCUAAGCUUCAGUCUAACGAGACCGUACCGCAAACCGACACAGGUGGGCGAGAUGAGUAUUCUAAGGCGCUUGAGAGAACUCGGGAGAAGGAACUCGGCAAAUUGGUACCGUAACUUCGGGAUAAGGUACGCCCUUGUAUCUUGACUGGCCUGCGCCAGGAGGGAGAAGGGGUUGCAAUAAAAAGGUGGCUGCGACUGUUUAAUAAAAACACAGCACUCUGCAAACACGAAAGUGGACGUAUAGGGUGUGACGCCUGCCCGGUGCUGGAAGAUUAAAUGAUGGGGUGAGAGCUCUUGAUCGAAGUCCCAGUAAACGGCGGCCGUAACUAUAACGGUCCUAAGGUAGCGAAAUUCCUUGUCGGGUAAGUUCCGACCUGCACGAAUGGCGUAACGAUGGCCACACUGUCUCCUCCCGAGACUCAGUGAAGUUGAAAUGUUUGUGAUGAUGCAAUCUACCCGCGGCUAGACGGAGAGACCCCAUGAACCUUUACUGUAGCUUUACAUUGGACUUUGAACCAAUCUGUGUAGGAUAGGUGGGAGGCUUUGAAGCGUGAACGCCAGUUUGCGUGGAGCCGGCCUUGAAAUACCACCCUGGUUUGUUUGAGGUUCUAACCUUGGCCCGUUAUCCGGGUUGGGGACAGUGUAUGGUAGGCAGUUUGACUG